RNAcentral lists this ribosomal RNA (166 nucleotides) under uncultured bacterium. RNAcentral's name for it is "partial 16S rRNA". It matches the Rfam family "Bacterial small subunit ribosomal RNA", at positions 355 to 511 of the family's 1533-position model. The record is from RNAcentral.
UAGGGAAUCUUCGGCAAUGGGGGCAACCCUGACCGAGCAACGCCGCGUGAGUGAAGAAGGUUUUCGGAUCGUAAAGCUCUGUUGGUAAGAGAAGAACGUGUGUGAGAGUGGAAAGUUCACACAGUGACGGUAACUUACCAGAAAGGGACGGCUAACUACGUGCCAG